GACCGCAUAACGCAGUGGAUUAGCGUGUUUGACUUUGAAUCAGAAGGUUGUGGGUUCAACUUCCACUGUGGUCG
Non-coding RNA from Cucurbita pepo subsp. pepo (vegetable marrow), 74 nucleotides. The record is from the annotation of a RefSeq genome assembly. Lineage: Eukaryota; Viridiplantae; Streptophyta; Magnoliopsida; Cucurbitales; Cucurbitaceae.